CAGGAUAUGGUGUUAAUGGUAGCAUUCCACACUUGGGAUGUGGAGGUGCAGGUUCGAGUCCUGCUAUCCUGA
RNAcentral lists this transfer RNA (72 nucleotides) under Marinitoga piezophila KA3. It matches the Rfam family "tRNA". Rfam says of the family: Transfer RNA (tRNA) molecules are approximately 80 nucleotides in length. Their secondary structure includes four short double-helical elements and three loops (D, anti-codon, and T loops). RNAcentral also lists the same sequence under 1 other name. The record is from Rfam by way of RNAcentral. Lineage: Bacteria; Thermotogati; Thermotogota; Thermotogae; Petrotogales; Petrotogaceae.